Molecule: ribosomal RNA, 497 nt
Filed under: uncultured bacterium
Lineage: Bacteria
Description: partial 16S ribosomal RNA
Rfam family: Bacterial small subunit ribosomal RNA
Source: RNAcentral
GACGAACGCUGGCGGCGUGCCUAAUACAUGCAAGUCGAGCGAACAGACGAGGAGCUUGCUCCUUUGACGUUUGCGGCGGACGUGUGAGUAACACGUGUAUAAUCUACCUAUAAGACUGGGAUAAUUUCGGGAAACCGGAGCUAAUACCGGAUAACCUCCUGCAGCGCAUGGUUGAACGGUGAAAUACGGUCUUGCUGUCACUUAUCGAUGGAUCUGCGCCGGUGUAGCUGGUUGGUAAGUUAAAGGCCUAUGAAGGCUAGCAUGCGUGGCCGAGGGGCGGGGGUGAUCGGCCACCUGGGAACGUGGCCGCGUUCCAUGCGACUGCGAGAGGGAGCAGUCGGGAAUCUGCGGCAAUGGGCGAAAGCCUGACGGAGCAGCGCCGCGUGAGUGAAAAAGGUCUUCGGAUCGUGAAGCUCUGUUAUUAGGGAAGAACAAAUGUGUAAGUAACUGUGCACGUAUUGACGGUAACUAAUCAGAAAGCAACGGCUAACUACGUG